UACGAAGGGGGCUAGCGUUGCUCGGAAUCACUGGGCGUAAAGGGUGCGUAGGCGGGGCUUUAAGUCAGGGGUGAAAUCCUGGAGCUCAACUCCAGAACUGCCUUUGAUACUGAAGAUCUUGAGUUCGGGAGAGGUGAGUGGAACUGCGAGUGUAGAGGUGAAAUUCGUAGAUAUUCGCAAGAACACCAGUGGCGAAGGCGGGUCUCUGGGCCGAUACUGACGCUGAGGAGCGAAAGCGUGGGGAGCGAACAGG
This 253-nucleotide ribosomal RNA is filed under the name uncultured bacterium. RNAcentral's name for it is "partial 16S ribosomal RNA". It matches the Rfam family "Bacterial small subunit ribosomal RNA", at positions 524 to 776 of the family's 1533-position model. The record is from RNAcentral.